AUAGGAAGUGACUGAAAGUAAUUUUCAUUCUGAAUAUCCAAGUUUCCAUGUCCCACUGCUAGAGCCAUAUUAAAACUCCAAAGUAAUUAAACUCCUCAAAAUAAUUCUGUAAAUUACUGUCUUCGGCAAAAUUUCGGUUCCUAAAAGAAUGCAGAGUGAGCUCGGCUAUUUUUGACUUGUUCUCAUGCUCUCUCCCACAGUGUGUAGCUGCGUUUGCUGUAUCUGCUGUUGCUUCUCAGUGGGAACGGACUGGAAAGCCUUUCAACCCACUGCUGGGAGAGACUUAUGAAUCAGUGCGAGAUGACCUUUGAUUUAGACUCAUCUCCGAAGAGGUCAGCCAUCACCAACCAAUCAGUGCAUUUCAUGCUGAAGGAUUAAACAAUGACUUCAUCUUUCAUGGCUCAAUCUAUCCCAAACUGAAAUUCUGGGGGAAGAGUGUAGAAGCAGAACCCAAAGGAACCAUCACCUUGGAGCUCCUUGAAUACCCCGGACAGAAGACAAAGCAACAACCCAAAGACUCUGAAAAGCAGAUAGUAGCAGGCAGACUGGGGAAAGAAAUCAAAACCUGAACACCAA
Molecule: long non-coding RNA, 576 nt
Organism: Nomascus leucogenys (northern white-cheeked gibbon)
Lineage: Eukaryota; Metazoa; Chordata; Mammalia; Primates; Hylobatidae
Exons: 3
Source: RefSeq, a predicted model, not a curated record